RNAcentral lists this ribosomal RNA (245 nucleotides) under uncultured bacterium. RNAcentral's name for it is "partial 16S ribosomal RNA". It matches the Rfam family "Bacterial small subunit ribosomal RNA", at positions 524 to 768 of the family's 1533-position model. The record is from RNAcentral.
UACAGAGGUCUCAAGCGUUGUUCGGAUUCAUUGGGCGUAAAGGGUGCGUAGGCGGUGAGGUAAGUCUGGUGUGAAAUCCCGGAGCUCAACUCCGGAACUGCACUGGAUACUGCCUUACUUGAGCACUGGAGAGGGAACUGGAAUUUACGGUGUAGCAGUGAAAUGCGUAGAUAUCGUAAGGAAGACCAGCGGCGAAGGCGAGUUCCUGGACAGUUGCUGACGCUGAGGCACGAAGGCCAGGGGAG